CGAGCAGUCAAAAGGAGCGCAGGUGAUACAAGGAAAUCAAAUCUGAGCAACCACAUUUAACUUUAAAAAAAACUGAUGCACUGACAAAUUGAUUUGGAAAUUGCAAAAAAAUCUUUGAGCUAAAAUCGAAUGAACCAAGAGAAGAAACUACAAUGUGGAAAGUUUUCAGACUAAUCUUGCACCAUUGAUGCUAAGCCAAAGCAACAGAUUCUAAGCUAAUUGUAUUCUCAAGAGUCCAUAAUCAAAUACAGGCUGCUUCCUAAUUAUUCUAGAGGAAAAAUCACCAUAUGACUAAUUUAAAUGAAAUAAACACGAGAGCAAGACCAUUUUAACAAGGGAAACAAAUAGGAUUAAGGAAAAAAUUUGCUUCAUUCCAUCUUCAAAUUUGAUUUCACAUUGCGAGAUUCGAAAUAUGUACCUGGUUACAACAACAAAACUAACAAAAGUGAGUCGGGACAUAACAGUAAGCAGCAGCAGAAGUAAUUUCAAAUAAGGAAGAAAUCCCACAGCAUGAUUAUAACCAUCCAGGCAGAUGUAAUAUCAAACAAGCCAUCAGUAGAAAUCAACAUCAACCACACAACCCAUAUUUAGUGAAUGAAACCAGGAGAUUGACUCAAAAACCCAAUGAAACAGUAGACUUAACAGCUUAAAACCCAGAGAAUGUAAUCUAAACACUUAUUAUCAACUUCAAAAAAUCAGAGCACCAUAAUACAAGAUCAUCAUCUUUCUUUCAAACCAUUUUAAAUCUUGGACAGAAUGGAAAAUUUCAAAUUGAUUCAGAAAUUAACCAACUUCAAACAAUCAGAGCACCAUAAUCCAAGAUCAUCAUCUUUCUUUCAAACCAUUUCAAAGCUUGGACAAAAAGGAAAAUUUCAAGUUGAUUCAAAAAUGAAAAUAAACUUCCAAAGUUUAGACCUGAAUAACAGUAAUACUAACUUCUGCUUCUCUUUUUUUCUAAUUCUUUUCAAAUUUUUUUUAGAAUGUUGCUGGCUGCCUUUCAAAGCAAGAAAGCAUGCCUUUCUAGGCAAGGCAAGUAGGGCAGCCUUAGGUUUUCAUUUUUCAACUUACCCCUUUUUCAAAUUUCGUUUUAGCUUAGGUAACCCCCAAUUCCUGACUUUCUACCCAAGUUUAAACACCCAAAAUCUUAUAUUCCCUUAAGACCCCUACUAGAAGCUUUUCUUUCUGAUAGAAAAAGAUUCCUUAAGUGAAUUACCCCAAUUACCCCUUUUAACUAAUGUUAUUUACCCUCCCAAAGACCAGUUCGACCAAGGGUCAUUCUGGCCAUAACAAACAGGGCUCGAGGCCUGUUAUUGAGCCAUGCUAAAAUGAGUCGAAGGCCCAAAACCUAUACCCAACAAACCAAAAUCCCCCAAUUUCGACCAAAUGAAUUAGCACACACACGAUGGCCCAAGAAAAACCAGUAAAUUAAUCAUGAUUAUGAACACAACAUUAUAUUUUCUUCUUUUAAUAAAAACCUUUUAACAGAAUUAAACCAAGAACUACUGUCUAUCCGAAUUAACAUAGAUACAAAGGAAAUGACGAGAAGAGAAACAAAAGCAACAUGGGCGACGGAGGAAAUGAAUCAAAACAAAAGCUGGAUAAUUAAAUCGACGGGGAAGAUGGCGGAGAAGAGACGAGAAUGAUACCUUCACAAUGGCCCGGACAAAGCUUUGAUGAACCCUAUGGUUUUUACUUGAGUCGAAAACAAACAUUAACCGUUUGUUCUCGAAGAAAACACACGAUCAAUGUACGUUUCAAACCAUGUCGUUCAUAGGAGUUUGAAAACUUGAAGCCUCUCUUCCUUCAAUUUUGAUUCGACAAUGUCUGAUUUGGCUUGGAUUUGGAGAGAAGUAGUGAUGGAUUAGGGUCUUAGAAUGACUGAGGGUUUCACAGCUGGAUUUCGGUGGUGGUUGGAGCCUUCUUGCCGGUGGCCAUGGCGGAUUAGAGCUUAGAGACGGAGAAAACUAGGUCUGGUAUGUAUGGAGAUGGCGACUGAAAAUUUCUUUUAGGACAUAUUAAUUAUAAAUGGGAAGUAGUCAUGGCCGUUGGAUGCGGACAAUGGAUGGCUAGGAUCUCUUUG
This 2080-nucleotide long non-coding RNA is filed under the name Nicotiana benthamiana. RNAcentral's name for it is "long non-coding RNA (NBEN_LNC031596)". The record is from RNAcentral. Lineage: Eukaryota; Viridiplantae; Streptophyta; Magnoliopsida; Solanales; Solanaceae.